GCCUAUCUCAGUUCGGAUUGGAGGCUGAAACCCGCCUCCAUGAAGUUGGAUUCGCUAGUAAUCGUGCAUCAGCCAUGGCGCGGUGAAUACGUUCCCGGGCCUUGUACAUACCGCCCGUCAAGCCAUGGGAGCUGGGGGUGCCUGAAGUUCGUGACCGCAAGGAUCGACCUAGGGCAAAACCGGUGACUGGGGCUAAGUCGUAACAAGGUAAC
Molecule: ribosomal RNA, 212 nt
Filed under: uncultured bacterium
Lineage: Bacteria
Description: partial 16S ribosomal RNA
Rfam family: Bacterial small subunit ribosomal RNA
Source: RNAcentral